RNAcentral lists this long non-coding RNA (5256 nucleotides) under Homo sapiens (human). Its description in RNAcentral is "non-protein coding lnc-SOCS6-10:1". Lineage: Eukaryota; Metazoa; Chordata; Mammalia; Primates; Hominidae. The record is from RNAcentral.
UUUUGCACAUGGCAUUUGCUUUUGAAAUGCCUUUAGUCAAAUACACCAGAGCAACUCCCAGCUGAGACCAUUUGAGCACAGUUCCUAGUGGGGCCACAUUCAGAGCAAGCCUCUCGCCGGCUCACUCAGUUGAGCUGUUGCUUAGACACCACAAGUUUCUACAAGGGACUUAUGGGGAACGGCCCUCAGGGGUCCUGGUUCACAUCUCAGCUUUAUUCAUGUGCUGGAAGCACAAACAGCGAGUCCAGGGAGGGAUUCUGCUAAUCAGAUGAGUCUGCUCUUGUGUCUCUUUCUUAGGAGACAAAUACCUGUAUGUAAUUGCUUCAAGAACUCCAUUUGGUUCUGAUCAUUACCAAUGAAUAUAACUGAAGGAGCACCAAAGAUCAGGCAUAACCUCGGGCCAGUUCAUUCUGAAAAUGAUGUCGUAAAAAGAGUAUGUGUGAGAGAAAUCUCCUUCCCAAGUUUUUAACCAGAUCUCGUCACAAUGAGGAGAAUGCUAUAAUCUAUCUCAUGGUACAUUUUUGGAGCUUAAUUCUAGCAUACUCCUCCAAGUACACUCACAAUUGUAGCUGAGUCAAGACUGCUAAAUGAACAGAUAGGAGAACUUAUAUUAGACUAAUAUCCUUGACACGAAGCAGGGUUCAUUGUAAUAAAAACGGCAAACAGAUAAAUCUUCUACCAAAACCAAAGAUGGAAAGUCACUGCACCAGUCUCCUGGAACUUCAUAAAAUCAAUUUCACUGGAGCAACCAGAAGGGUCAUGGAGAUGUAUACCACUCGCUUGGGCUCGUAGGUUUUUGACUGGGGAUGCCUCUACACUUUGUAAGUCAUUUCUCCCUUCAAAAAUUGUAUUAUAUCUUUAAUAUAUGUGUAUUUUUCAAUGCGAGGGAGGAAUUACUAUGAACCAAAGAUAUCUUUUGGCUCCUUCUGAAAGUGACUCAGUUUGAAUUCCAUUCAGAUUUGUACAGAUAAAUAGAUGGUCACCAUUUCUGCAUCAGGUUGGAAGAGACCAAUGAUAAAGGAACCCAACGUAAGGAAUAGCAGUUCUGAAAAUAGACAAAGCCUAGAGGAGGUAUCUAUUUCACUGAGAGAUUACACGAGGGGACUUAUUUUUUAUGUUCCCAAUUUUUUCUUCUGAUAAUAUUAAUCAAUGUACACAUGAUUGAUGCAUGAUAUUACACUUAAAAUGCAGGAGAGUACAAAACAACCUUGAUCCAAUAGUUUCCUAUUCUGGGGGGUGGGGGCAGAGGCGGAAAAGAAAACACAUCUUUCACUUACUUAUUGAACAAACAAUAAGCACUCAGAACUAAUUUAUUUAUGCAGGUUGCAAAUAUGUAUGAAGCAAUAGGUUCUGGCCACUGCCACAAUUUGAAAUCAAUAAAAUAAGAAAUAUAUAUUUAUAUAUGAGGGAAGAUGCUGUUUGAUAGAGCAUGUGAAAUCAAUGGAAACAUAUUUAUUAAAAGUAAACCUCACCUUUUUCACCAAAUAGUAACUAGAGAACUAGUCCUAGUAUCUUGCGUAAUUCUUCUCUGUCUUCAUUGGGAAAUUAUGUUUGAAAAUCUUUCAUCACCUAUAAAAUGGUGAGCCUCUUGUACUUUCUAUUCAGUGUAGAAAGAGUGGACUGAUAAAUAACUUUACAUUGUUGGUAGUAGUUUCUACAGAUCCAGUUUAUUGCAUGUCGUAUCUUUAUUGUAGAUAUUAAAAACACAUGAUAAAAAUUGAUGUGUGCCCCUCCUUGUUUGGCCAGUAUCACAGAAAACUUUGUAAAAAAGCAUGGGGACCCUACUCCCUAGAUUAUUUGAGCCAUUUACUAAAAUUGGCCAUUAGUGAUACAGUGAAAACAAGCUAAGGAAAUGAUAUUCUCCUAAAAAGUUAUAUUCCAGUUUUGAUUAUUAUAACACAGCACAAUAAAUGGGCAGUAUACGUCUAAUGGAACUGAGAUUUAAGGCUUUAACAAUUCGUGUUUUAAAAUAUUAUAUUGAAGACUGCACAAAGAGAAAAUUAUACAUGUUUCUCCAAUCCUGUGAUCAUGUCUGUAAAUACCUUGCAAUUUCAAAUUACUUCAUCCGUCAUUAACUAUAUGAUCUCCCAAACACAGCCUUCUCAAAAUCGAUAAAAAUUUGCCACUGAAUAUGCAUUAAUAGCUAUAACAAUGGGUGACAUGCCACACAAAUUUAGCUUAUGCAAUUUAUGGGGUGUGUGUUUGCAGACUAUGAAAUGUAUGAAGUGCAGUCUCCCAUGGAGAGAAUAGAGAGGCAGGAUGGCAACUAGUCAUGAACGCAACAAUUUAGGUUAAAUGAUAAAGAAUACAAUGAAAUGUCCAGAGUAACACUUGGUCUCUACCUUUCUAACAUUCUAACCCAAGGCCAGUGUCAUGGGCUUGGCUUUCUUCCCUGUCGCCUCAUACUGAGUAUGCAAUUUACAGAGGACAUCUGUUGCUUUAUGUCUUAAGGCCACUAGAGGAAGUCACUACAUUCCCAACAAAGAUGUGUCUUUCGGCUUAGUGAAAAACAUUUAACAAGAAACAAUGUGUAACCAAGUCCCCACAGUAAAAUGUGUCUUCAGAAACAUGAGAAUCACUUUUAUAUAGCCAACCUCAUUUGAAUUUUAUCAUGAACAUAAAUUAUCGGUGAGACUGGUGUGCGGGGCUGGAUCUGUGAGACAAGCUCACACUCUCAUGUGUGCAUUCUCUAUUAACAUAUUUGGAAGAUUGCCCACAUUUUCUCUGCAGACCUGCCACAAAUCCUUACCUUCUUACUGAAGAAUGUGACUAUUGUAGCAUUCGUGCAAUUAUGCCAGCAGAGGAGGCACUAGACAGUUUAUAGACUCUUAUGGAAGUUGGGCACAUUUCCCAGGCAGGUGGAAUGCUAGCUAGAUCUAGAAGCACCCUUAAAGGUCAUGUAGAAUCAAGGUCCCACUUUAUGUUUCCCUUGGGAGAAAACUGAAACCCAUGGAUGCUGUAAUUUGUUUAACGGCAAAGAAAGAGCCAAGAAUUGUUUCUCGUAGUUCCAGGGUCCUGAUCUAGGAAUGUUUCCUUGGCUCCAUGGCAUCUCCCAGUUUGACAUAGUGGGAGCUGAGAAAUGCCAUAUGGCCUCAAAAUAAAUAAACCCUUGUACAUUUAAGUGUUUUCCCAGAUUUUCAGAUGCCUCUACUCUUGCUGAACUCAUCACCAGCUGUAUCAGUAGAGAGGUGUUAUGGGGCAAUUCAUUAGAUUUCUGGUAGGUCAUGAAUGGUUGGUAUAAGCUUUAUUUACUCAUAUAUUGUCAUCCAGUUCUUUGAAAUUCAAUCUUAUCCUAAAGUGGUAGUCAAAGUAAAACACAUUAAGUAGGUGUUUGUGUUUAGCAGUCCUACUAAUUCAUCACAAUCACAUAGUAAUUGUGAUUAUAAUUUUUGGAAUCUUUAUCACUUUCUAGCACUUUACGGUGUCAUUAUUUAUGGCAUUUUUAACAACUUUGUUGCAUAAUUGAUAACAUCAGGGCUACAUUUUUUUCAUGUGAGCCUCAAGAAGCUUCCAUUAUCAACAAGAAUUGGGGAAAUGACUUUUUUACAUUAUAAUACCUUAUAUAUUAGGUUUUUCCUGAUAAUCUUCAGUAGACAAUGAUUUAAAUUAACUGAAGUUUAAAUAAGAAAUAUGUUAAAAUUACUAAAUAAUAUGAAAACCACAUUAUACUUGUAAUUUUCAGACACUUUUCUCCUACCUUAAGAUUUUAACAUCUUGUAAAUAUUAAUAUUUGAAGGGGAGAGGAAAAAUACAUUUGUAGUAGAAAUAUUCCCUCUAACAAUUCUGUUUAACUAGUAAGUUUUUUUUAAGUUAUCUUCCAUGCCUGCUUCCCUAGUCUGAACUCCACAUUCCAGUUGUCAGAAGAAUGAAUGGAUUUAAAUUUUCUAAUCAUUAUUUUGGGCCCAUGUUAGCAGUUGAAACAAUUAAGUUCCUCACUCUUUCCUGCUUUUAGGAUGAUUUUAGACUGUGAGCAUAAAAUCAACCCUUUCUGUCAGCACAGAAUUGAACAUCGAAUGGAGCAAGGUCUACACUCUCAGCCUGUAGCUGUGCUAAUGUUAGGAUUGAAUUGUUCUAUUAAUUCCCUCAAGAGACCCACAGCCUCAAAAGAGUUGCUUAUUAUCAGAUGUCCGAAAUUCAGAAACCCAAAGUCAGGCAAAGAAGGAAACUGAGAUAAUGAUUUAAUUUUUUUAAGUCACUGCAGGAUUUCUCUCAAAGAAAACAUCUGAAAAUGGUUGAGAAAGUAGUUCCAGAUCAUUAACUAUUUUACAGAGGGACUGAAAGCCAGGGAAAAUAAAGAACAGAAUGAUAGUAGUAUCUUGAUAUUAAAUUUGCAUCAGAAAUGAGCAAAAUAUGUCAAUAUGAAAUAAUUUGAAAUCAAAUUCAGAUUCACAUGUAUAGUGCAUAGUUCAAGAAAUAAUGCUUACUCUUGUAAAAAAAAAAAAUAUAUAUAUAUGUAUCAGCAGGUAGAGUGUGGGAGCUCCAACUUUGUUGUGAAAGCUGAUAACAGAGUAUGAUUCUUUCCAGUUACAAAAUACUGUAUUACUUUAGUUAUAGCAAGCAGUACAUAAAUGACAUCAACAACUCAGGCUGCUCCCUGACAUAAAAGCCAGUUCCAUCUUUACUGCAGAUGACAGGAGACUUUCCAAGACCUGCAGAGGCCCCCUCCACCCCAACCUUAGUGCAUGCUCACACACACACACACACACACACACACACACACACAUUUUUGGCUUUUGACCCACUCUGUGUGUUCCACUGAAGUUAUCUUUUCCUUAAUAGAUUCACACAGAAUUACCCCAUCCUGCAAAAUCCUUAUCCCUAUGAAUCUCUAAAAUAUAUUAAAUAAUGUGUUAUAUAUUUGCUUUUUGUAAAUCUUUAUUUAAUUAAUUUAUAUAUACUUUGUGAAGUCUUAUACUGUACAUCAUAAAGCGAUGUCAUCUGUAGUUGGUUCAAUAUAAUGUUUAUGAUCAUUUUGAUAAGAAAUAACUUUGGACAUUAGGCCCUUGUUAAGAAAUAAAACACCCAUUAUAAAUUUGCUUCUGUUGGAAAAUACAUGAUUUGGCAUACUUCAUUUUUAGUAACAAUCUAUUCUAGAUAAAUGAUAAUUUGGGGACAUCUGUACUUAAAAACUAGCUGAACUACGUUUUGGGAUGAGAUGCAAAGCAACAGCUGUCCCUGGAACUGAAAUGUGAAUUUCUAGCAGAACAGAAAAUAUUAUAAUAAUGAGGCAAUAAUAAAAUUAGGAAAUUAAAUUAU